This is a long non-coding RNA of Felis catus (domestic cat), 1119 nucleotides long. RefSeq lists it as uncharacterized. The record is from RefSeq and is a predicted model, not a curated record. The transcript has 3 exons. NCBI's taxonomy places the organism in Eukaryota, Metazoa, Chordata, Mammalia, Carnivora, Felidae.
AUCAUUCUGCCUGUACUGCGGCACGUCCACGAUGGGCCGCAUGGGGAGCAGCAGGAACCUACGGUGUGGUGAGAACACACCGAGGCAGACCCAGCAGGGGGAAGCCCCGGGAGCUCCCAGAAACUCAAGUACCAUGAACUUCCGCUCAAGUGGGCCGCUGGUGGAGGGCGCAUGCGCGUCCUGUGCCCUGCUGGCCUCCGUCACCUCGCUCGUGUCCGAGGGCUGUCAGAUUUGAGGUAUAAGGGCCAACUCCUUACAAGGAAGGCCCAUACUGACAGAACCCGCCUUGCCCCGUGCCUGGAACCUCUGCUGGGUCUCGGAAGCGCUCCUUCUCGGGUCCCCCGCUGAGGAGGGUGCAUACCAAUACCACCCGCCUUCCGCCUUCCGCCUUGCGCCUGCGGUGGGGCUCCAACGGCCUGCGGCACCUGCGGUGAAUUUCCGCCCGCCGCCUCCAGGGCCUAUGCAGCCACCCGCACGGGCGUGACAUCCCCCAGGUUGGAGGCACCUGUCCGCGUCACGUCAGAACUGAAUCCGUGCGGGAGGGGACCGUGCAAGGGUGUGAAUACGAACAGACAAGGCUCUUGGAAGAUCCUCUUGGAGGCCGGCUAUCCACCGCAAUAAUGAUGUGUCAUCUAUUCAGUACCUAUUAUGUGCUUGGCUUUAGAUGGGAAUGAUCUCACUUCAUCCUCACUACAGCCUUAUAUGGGUGGUCCUCCAGAAACCUGUUAUAAUUCUACUCCAUUUGAAAGCUAUGCAUCUGUUAGGAUCUUUAGAAGGAGUCUUUACACUCAAAGCAAAUGGAGAAAAAGGAAGCCAGAUCAUCUCAAUGGAAUCUGUGGCCAGACCAGAAAAUGAGGCAGGACCCGGGAGAGCUGAAUUGAGAGAAGAGGCAGAGAACAAAAGUCCUUCCAGCCAACCAUUAAUCCAGGGCUGCUUUCUCUGGAUAGGCCAAUAGAAAGAGGUUUUGAAGGGCUUUACAAAUACUCUUUCUAAAGUUUAAUAAUUACUCAAAAAAAAUUUAAUUUCUGUAAGAUUUAUUAUAUGUUUUUAAUUCUAGGUUACAUAUGCCCAUCUCACUGUUGGCAUGAAGGGCAGUUAUGCUAGCAUUCGAGCUUACCA